Molecule: long non-coding RNA, 977 nt
Filed under: Musa acuminata (dwarf banana)
Lineage: Eukaryota; Viridiplantae; Streptophyta; Magnoliopsida; Zingiberales; Musaceae
Description: long non-coding RNA (MACU_LNC003685)
Source: RNAcentral
AAUUGAAAGAAUAUAAAAUAGCAGUCAAGCAAGUAAGUGGAACAAAGUUACAUGUCCAAUCUACAAAAUCUGUAUUGAUCAAUAGUUAAAAACCCCUGAUAAAUCAAAUAUUCAAUAUAUCUCAAAACAAAGCUUCAGAAACAAAAUUUACCCCUAAGCAUAACUGCAUGAUUUUCAACUGGCAGAAAACUUGGUAAUUUUAAAUUUAAUAGUAACUUGUUAGACUUAAAUUAUAAUAAUCCUAGUACUUUCCAUGAUUUAUGCUGCAAAAUUUGGGACUUGUACUUUCAAGUGGUACAUAUGAAUGAAGCAACAAGGGGCCAUCCUAGUCUCAGACACAUCAACUUGGUUGACAAAUACUUCCAAAGUUUAUUUUAAGGCAUAGUGGGAAAAAAACCCAUCUUUUAGGAAAGGUGACCACACAAGGUGAUUUCUUUUGUGCAGGAGAUACCAGCUAAAUUAUAUGAACCCCAGAACCUGCAUAUCAGUCACAGGCAACAGGCAACAUAGGUGCAUUCACAUGAUAUUGUCCCAGGUAAUUAAGCUUAUAGGCCACAAAGUUGUUCAUUUCACUAAAAGACAGAAAGAACUUAAAUUGAUAGUGAUAUAUUGUCCCAGGUAAUUAAGCUUAUAGGCCACAAAGUUGUUCAUUUCACUAAAAGACAGAAAGAACUUAAAUUGAUAGUGAUACCAGAAACAUACUCAAUCUACUGGUGGCCAACACUCUAUUUAUCUGCACAAGCGUGCACAAUAAUUAUCAAUUACAAAAAGGGUAGAUGGACACAACAAAAGAGUUCAUAUUAACCUGUAAUUGAAUAAAUUGACAUUAUGUUUUGUUUCGUAAAAAUAUCAUCCAGUGGAAAGUAAUCUUAUACUCUAUUGUAAAUGAAACCUAUUGGAAUAAGAUUUCCAACUUUUAAGUAACAUUAGCAAUGACUUCCUCAUUAACAAGUUUGGAUACGAGACUAAUCCCAGUC